Long non-coding RNA from Brassica oleracea var. oleracea, 1332 nucleotides. RefSeq lists it as uncharacterized. The transcript is spliced from 3 exons. The record is from RefSeq and is a predicted model, not a curated record. NCBI's taxonomy places the organism in Eukaryota, Viridiplantae, Streptophyta, Magnoliopsida, Brassicales, Brassicaceae.
AUUAAGACAAUUAAUUCUAAUCUGGUAAUAUAUGUUGGAUGAUCGUGUUUAAUUUCCUAGUCGAUGAGAAAACUAUGGAAUGAACGGUGCAAUGGGUCCCAUGGGUGAAAUAAACAUGGAAACGAUAUGAUUAUCAGCAGUAAAUUAUUGGUUGAAAGAGAACACAUGGGCUGUCUUGUUUGAGGAGAACACCCGUUAAUCAUUGGUCAAGAAUGUUCAGAUAGGGUACAGGUCUGAAACCACCGAGUAUAGGUUUUUCAACUCCGCAGAAGCAAGAUCCAACGGUGGGGUGGGUCGGGUCCCAUUAUCAAUCAACUGUUGUCUGAGAAGUUGCCACGUGUCGCUCAUCCUGAUCUGUUUCAGUACUAUUGCCCCAACCGAAUCAUAAUCUCGCCCUCGCUUGCUCGCUUGGUGUAAUCUCUCCUCUGUCUAAAGUCUGAACCUGGCCAAGAACCUAGCCUCUCUUGUUCUAUAUUAUAUCUCUUCUAUUUUCUGUUUCAACUUUCAUUUCUCACUUACAUUAUAAUUUAUUUUCUAGAGAGAGAAAACCUAAAGAGUUAGGAGAUAGAAAUAGAAUAUUGUCCUCUUUUUUUCCCUCUCUUAGCUCUGUUUUGUAACUUGUGAGGCAGCUCUGUUUUGUAACUUGUGAGGCAGAAAACAAAUAUAGCUACGAUCUUCAUCAUUCAAAGGCUUCUAAAUUUGUAUGACAUGGAAGAUAAUUUCCACAUGUCCACUAGUAAAAGAUCAAUCAGACCAGAAGAUGAACUAGUGGAGCUACUUUGAGAGAUGGCCAAGUGGUUUUACAAAGCCAAGUACGAAGAGAAUCAUCAGUCCAAGUCCAAAACUCCAAACAUGAUCUAGCCCUACGAAAACCCAACACUACUUUUCUUGACUACCAAGAAACAGUACCCACACACUAUAACACUCUUCAAGAAGAUCAAAAAACCGUGUCCUGGAUCCAAUACCCUCCUGAAGACGUAGUUGACCCCUUUGAAUCCGAGUUCUCCUCCCAAUUCUUCGUUUCUUUCGACCACCUUGAUGGUCCACCUAAAGACAUUUCUAAACUAAGAAAGAUUGAAGUUUGUAAAGCUUUAUUGAUGCAAAAUAUGAAUAGCUCAAAGGAGCUUUAUUAUGCAAAUGAAAGUAAAGAAACUAGAAGAGAUUGAGUUUGUCACCAAGAACAAAGAGAUUUACGAAAUGAUAUUGAUAUUCCAAAAGUUGAGGUUUUCAUUACAUAGCAUGACUAUUUAUAUUGGAACUCAUGUGGCAAACCCUAGUUACAUGGGCUAAUGGACUUCUCACAAGAUAUAAAAUGGGCUUUCAAUUGGAUCU